RNAcentral lists this ribosomal RNA (877 nucleotides) under Sclerotinia trifoliorum. RNAcentral describes it as "LSU rRNA". It matches the Rfam family "Eukaryotic large subunit ribosomal RNA", at positions 36 to 932 of the family's 3401-position model. The record is from RNAcentral. Lineage: Eukaryota; Fungi; Ascomycota; Leotiomycetes; Helotiales; Sclerotiniaceae.
UAGCAUAUCAUAGCGGAGGAAAAGAAACCAACAGGGAUUACCUCAGUAACGGCGAGUGAAGCGGUAAAAGCUCAAAUUUGAAAUCUGGCUCUUUCAGAGUCCGAGUUGUAAUUUGUAGAAGAUGCUUCGGGUGUGGUUCCGGUCUAAGUUCCUUGGAACAGGACGUCAUAGAGGGUGAGAAUCCCGUAUGUGACUGGAUACCUAUGCUCAUGUGAAGCUCUUUCGACGAGUCGAGUUGUUUGGGAAUGCAGCUCAAAAUGGGUGGUAUAUUUCAUCUAAAGCUAAAUAUUGGCCAGAGACCGAUAGCGCACAAGUAGAGUGAUCGAAAGAUGAAAAGCACUUUGGAAAGAGAGUUAAACAGUACGUGAAAUUGUUGAAAGGGAAGCGCUUGCAAUCAGACUUGCACUUGGUGUUCAUCAGGGUUUCGUGCCCUGUGUACUUCAUCAAGUUCAGGCCAGCAUCAGUUUGAGUGGUUAGAUAAAGGCUUGGAGAAUGUGGCCCUCUUCGGGGGGUGUUAUAGCUCCAGGUGCAAUGUAGCCUACUUGGACUGAGGACCGCGCUUCGGCUAGGAUGCUGGCGUAAUGGUUGUAAGCGACCCGUCUUGAAACACGGACCAAGGAGUGUACCUAAUAUGCGAGUGUUUGGGUGUUAAACCCAUACGCGUAAUGAAAGUGAACGCUGGUGAGAACCCUUAAGGGUGCAUCAUCGACCGAUCUUGAUGUCUUCGGAUGGAUUUGAGUAAGAGCAUAUUGGGUGCGACCCGAAAGAUGAUGAUCUAUACGUGAAUAGGGUGAAGCCAGAGGAAACUCUGGUGGAGGCUCGCAGCGGUUCUGACGUGCAAAUCGAUCGUCAAAUUUGCGUAUAGGGGCGAAAGACU